RNAcentral lists this ribosomal RNA (644 nucleotides) under uncultured bacterium. RNAcentral describes it as "bacterial SSU rRNA". It matches the Rfam family "Bacterial small subunit ribosomal RNA", at positions 79 to 719 of the family's 1533-position model. The record is from RNAcentral.
CUUGCUUCUCUUGAGAGCGGCGGACGGGUGAGUAAUGCCUAGGAAUCUGCCUGGUAGUGGGGGAUAACGUCCGGAAACGGACGCUAAUACCGCAUACGUCCUACGGGAGAAAGCAGGGGACCUUCGGGCCUUGCGCUAUCAGAUGAGCCUAGGUCGGAUUAGCUAGUUGGUGGGGUAAUGGCUCACCAAGGCGACGAUCCGUAACUGGUCUGAGAGGAUGAUCAGUCACACUGGAACUGAGACACGGUCCAGACUCCUACGGGAGGCAGCAGUGGGGAAUAUUGGACAAUGGGCGAAAGCCUGAUCCAGCCAUGCCGCGUGUGUGAAGAAGGUCUUCGGAUUGUAAAGCACUUUAAGUUGGGAGGAAGGGCAGUAAAUUAAUACUUUGCUGUUUUGACGUUACCGACAGAAUAGGCACCGGCUAACUCUGUGCCAGCAGCCGCGGUAAUACAGAGGGUGCAAGCGUUAAUCGGAAUUACUGGGCGUAAAGCGCGCGUAGGUGGUUCGUUAAGUUGGAUGUGAAAUCCCCGGGCUCAACCUGGGAACUGCAUUCAAAACUGACGAGCUAGAGUAUGGUAGAGGGUGGUGGAAUUUCCUGUGUAGCGGUGAAAUGCGUAGAUAUAGGAAGGAACACCAGUGGCGAA